AGUGUGGUAAGAAGCAUUUUGUCAUUGCUCCUCCCGACUACCUAGUGUACGUCAUUUUGGAAUGCAACCUCAAUUGCAAAAGAUAAAAUUAAGGUAAAAGCAAUGGAAGGCGGCAGUAGUGCCAAACACAAAGCAAAUUGUAAUGCAGAAUGAACAAACGGGUUCAAGAACCGUGACCUGAAGGGCGCCUCCGGUUUCUGGUGGCUGCAAAAUGGCUGAUGCGUCUAUUAUCCACUUCAAUCCAACCCUCGUAUAUUAUUCCAGAGACAUGUUUAGCCAUCCACAUUGUUAUUAAGCACGAGUUCUUCAAGCUGAAAACCCUUAAUGUUUAGAGUCGACAGACUUUAAAGCCAAGAGUGUUCGAACGGGAAUCAGCCUUUAGGGAGAGACAAGUUAAAUAAAUAUUCUGGAAUAGAAAAUACAACCUAAAUUCAAGCAGACGUCAUGAGAAUGAAUUUACUCCUGCCUGAAUUAACCAUUUGGAGAUUAGAAGUUUCCACAACUUCCCUAGAUUCCUGAAUAUCCGGCAAGAGGCUUUACCUGAUAUUGAAAUCCGAG
Molecule: long non-coding RNA, 558 nt
Organism: Macrobrachium nipponense
Lineage: Eukaryota; Metazoa; Arthropoda; Malacostraca; Decapoda; Palaemonidae
Exons: 3
Source: RefSeq, a predicted model, not a curated record